CACAGUUUGCCAGCCUCAAAGCAGUAUUUCUAAAGACUUGCUCUUGGCCUUGGAUGCCCAGAGCAAUAACCCACACUGCUGGCUCACAGCAAGUGGGGAAGAACUCUGGGUUACCACAGUCGCUGUUUCAUUCUCUUUCCAACGAGGGAAGGAGAGUAAUUGCUAAGUCACAAAAGGAUGCAGAGAUUUAUCAUCAGUUGCCAAUGCUCGUGGAUAGUUCAAGACAUCCUGAUCCUAACAGGGGCCACGGCAGAGCAUUAAGCAGGAAGCCCACGGAGAAGUCUCUCGCAAGCCAUCAUUUCAACCACUCUGAAGAGUUUUAAUCAUUCCCUGCAACGUGGGCACUCCCCUGUUUCCUGUGAUGCACUCACCUCAGCACUGUGUUUCAUCAUCUGAAGGUCCAUCUUCAGCCCAGACUGUGAGGUCCUUGAAGGUAAGGUGCUGGACCAAUUCUGCCCCUGUGUCCCCUGUACUAAGAAUAGAACCAGAUACCAUUUAAGUCUUCUCUGAUUUCAAACGAGAAGUGCUCGUCUAUUGAAUGCAUUGGAAUUUAAUGAACAGUCUUUUUUGGUAUGCAUGUUAGUGGUUAAAAUUUAUGUAUUGAUCCACUAUAAAUUCAAAUUUCCCUAUUUCCCCAAUGAUGAAGUGUUAGAAAUGAAAUGUUUAUAAAAUUUAAUGAAAAUAUGACACGUUAUUUAAAAAUGCCUAAUAAAAAGGAAAUAUUUCACUUUUAAAGAUAUCAUUCAUUACUGUCCAUAAACACACAUCUGCUCAAAUUGAUUUCUUACUUUCUGCUAAAGGCUUGCUAGAAGCAAUUGGCUACAGUUUGGUGUAAUAGCCUUAAAUCAUGGGAUGAAGAGAACUAACGUUACUGAUUUUUAUUCUUGCAGGACACUUGGUACUUUCCAAAAUCUUCAUGGAGACAUGUGGUCCACACAAAAGCAUCCUGAUACUUGGUCCUGUCCAAAAUGCACAUUGAGAUGACUGGUCUGUGAUUUCUUAGAUAAUAUAAACAUUUAACUUCAUUGAAACUUGCUAUGCCAGCCUUCUAACACAUUGUCCAUCCUGUGAUCACCAUUCAGUACUGAUGCAGAAACUUUCCAAGUUUCUGGUGGAAAUCUUAGAGCUUCUGAUCUUCUGGUUCUGCCAUACGUUUCCUAGACAUACACUCUCUCUACAGAAUCCAUUAGGUUAUCAAUGCUUUCUUCUGCAGUCUCUACAAGGUACUCAAAAGUUUCAUUUACAUCUUCCAAACAUACAAAUAGAAGUCCAAAUAACAUGAACAUACACUUAUGAGUUUUGCUGUCUGUUGUCACGUAUCAACACCUACUUAUUAGACUCAAAGAACUUAUUUUUUGCCACAGUGAUAGUGAAAUAUGAAUCUUCAUGAAAUUCUGAGGUCAAAGAAUAUUUUGCCCCAAGAAUUUUCUGAUGUCAACUUUAGUUUGAGUAUAAAGCAAGAUAAAUAUAUUGUCAGAUAUACAAGUCUCAGAACAAAAGUAAACCUCAACCUAGCUCAGCACUGAAAGAGCUUCAGAUUAUGAUCAAGAAAAUUAGCCAAUUAAAUCAGAAACUCACAGGCAACAGAAGUAUACACAAGUCCUCUGAAUGGUAUAACUUAAUCCAUAUAUGUUUUUUACAGAAAAACAAAAGAUAUACUACCGACAACUAAUAAAUUAUUAAUAUGAUUAUGGAAUUUAACAAUCAUGUCAGAAAUAAUUCUGGAAAGAGUCGCUAUGCAAUUUAAAACCCUUUCCCAACUCAUUGAAUAGUGUUUCCAUCCACCCAGUUAUUCAUGGCGGAUAACAAGAAGUCAUUCUCACCAUCUUUAUUCAAGUAUUUACCAAGUCUUCCUCAUAUUAGGUCCUAAUUAGCUUCCUGAUACAUCAGUUUCUUUCGAGCCCCACUGUCACCUCGCCUGGCCACCAUUCUGUCUUUGGUGGCCUCUUACAUCUUCCUCGCAAUUCCCUCUGCAUGAGGUCUCUCCAACCCUCACUCCCUGUCACUGGACUGAUCUUUCUAAAGCAAACACAUAAUUCUUUCCUGUAAACUCUUGAGUGGCUUCAACUGGAUCACAGAGAAAUGUCCACGUUUUUGUAGUACCAAGCCCCUGCCUCCCAGUCCUAUAUUUAUCUACCCAUUCAUCAGUCUGUUCACUCUGAUGAACUAAACUCCUAUGUGUGUGAUACUGCCUGUUUGCCAGAGACGACAUCAAGCACCGGGGCUUAUAUGAGAAAAGACUAAAUAAAUAAAAUGCUCUGCUCUUGACCAUGUAUGGUCUCACGGGGGCCCAGUCAGACAAGGAUAUAAGAGUUAAUAAUUUAAUGAAUAAUAUAAGGUAUAUUUAUGCAUUCAGCCAUGGUAUUGUGAGGAAAGGGUCACUUGAGAAGUGUUCUCUGCAGAGAUGGACAAUAACAGAAAAUUUGGAGAGUCAGGAAUCCCAUGCAUUCAGAAUGUAAGGGGAUGGGGAUGAAUUAGAGACACAGGUGGGCACCUGAUUGAGGGAUACACCAAAACCAUGCUAGAAGUCUGGGCUUUUUUUUUUUUUUUUUUUGCAGUCAACAGUGAUCCAGCAGAAGUUCUGUCAUCAGGGGAACUUUCAUAACUAAUUUACCUCUGAGCAGCCCAUUCUUUCAAGGUCCUUUUGUCACUUGCUUGCUAAAACCUCUUUGGGGAGGCCAAAAUAUGUGUCUUCUCCUAAAAUAAUUGAGUAUCUAAACCCUGUUGGCUUUCAACAGAUUUGGAAGCUGCUUGCCACAAAAUUCAGAAGGGUUGAAAUAGUCCAGGGGUGGUUUGAAGUAGCUGGUAGAGGCGCUGUCCCAAAGUCACCUUGUCAUUAAAUGCUAUGCAAGGUGAUCAGGAAGGUCCAGUAGAAAUCCAAGCACUAAAUUAGACUUGAAAAGGGACUUUAGUGCUUGUUUUUACAGCGACGGUGACUGCAUGCCUUGAUUGACCUAACAUGUCACUGGCUAGCUCGGCUUCCACGGUGAAGAGGGGACACUGCUGUAGUGUUUGAUAACUGAUCUAAUAGCAAGUCAGACAUCUCUCUGUUGCCCUGGGUUCAUUAUGCUCUAUCACCUUAAUAAACGUCCUCGUCCUCUGCCU
This is a long non-coding RNA of Capra hircus (goat), 3105 nucleotides long. The record is from Ensembl. Lineage: Eukaryota; Metazoa; Chordata; Mammalia; Artiodactyla; Bovidae.